UCAAGCUGCUAAGGGCUGUUGGUGGAUGCCUUGGCAUCGAAAGGCGAAGAAGGACGUGUAACCUGCGAAAAGCUUCGGGGAGUCGGAAAAGGCGUAGAACCGAAGGUAUCCGAAUGGGGCAACCCGAUAGAGAAGCCCUCUAUCAUCUUUAAAUGAAUACAUAGUUUAAAGAGGCGAGACCUGCUGAAGUGACACAUCUCAGUAAGCAGAGGAAAAGAAAUCUAGAAGAGAUUCCCAUAGUAGCGGCGAGCGAAGUGGGAAGAGCCCAAACCAGGGAUUUAUUCCUGGGGUUGUAGGGCCUAUUAUAAAGCGAAGUUGAACCUAGCAAAAUGGCAUGGAAAGGCCAACGGAACAGGGUGAGAGUCCCGUAUGCGAAAGGAGAGAUAAGCGAGAUAGGUACCUGAGUAGGACCGGGCACGGGAAAUCCGGUCUGAAACUGGGGGGACCACCCUCCAAGGCUAAAUACUAAAACGAUGACCGAUAGUGAACAAGUACCGCGAGGGAAAGGUGAAAAGAACCCCUGUUAGGGGAGUGAAAUAGAAACUGAAACCAGCAGCUUACAAACGGUCGAAGGCCUAUGCACCGCAAGGUGAAUGGCUGACGGCGUGCCUUUUGCAUGAUGAGCCAGCGAGUUAAGCUACAUGGCAAGGUUAAAGAACAAACGUUCUGGAGCCGAAGCGAAAGCGAGUGUGAAUAGCGCGAUAUAGUCGUGUGGCUUAGACACGAAACCAAGUGAUCUAUCCAUGACCAGGAUGAAGUUCGGGUAAAACCGAUUGGAGGUCCGAACCAGUGUCUGUUGAAAAAGACUUGGAUGAGUUGUGGAUAGGGGUGAAAGGCCAAUCAAACUUGGAGAUAUCUUGUUCUCUUCGAAAUAACUUUAGGGUUAACCUCGGCAGUACCGACUCGGGGGUAGAGCACUGAAUCCACAAGGGAGGCUACCGCCUUACCGAAGGGAAUCAAACUCCGAAUACCGAGAAGGAAGCCGGGAGAUAGACUGUGUGGGAUAAGCUACAUAGUCAAAAGGGGAACAGCCCAGAUCGCCGAUUAAGGCCCCAAAUUCUAUGCUAAGUGAGUAAGGAAGUGAAGUUUCAAAGACAGUUGGGAUGUUGGCUUAGAGGCAGCCAUCAUUUAAAGAGUGCGUAACAGCUCACCAAUCGAGAAACUUUGCGCCGAUAAUAGACGGGACUAAAGCAUAGAGCCGAAAUCGCGGGUGUAUCGCAAGAUAUGCGGUAGGAGAGCGUAGUAUGUGCAGUGAAGAUAUACCGUGAGGAGUGUUGGAGCGCAUACUAGUGAAGAUGCAUGGCAUGAGUAAACGAUAAAAGAGGUGAAAAUCCUCUUCGCCGAAAACCUAAGGUUUCCAGGGUAAAGUUCGUCUUCCCUGGGUUAGCCGGUCCCUAAGCUAAGGCUGAAAAGCGUAGGCGAUGGGAAGCAGGUUAAAUAUUCCUGCGCCGCUAAAGAGCAAUGGUGAUGAGAUGACGGAGUAAGUUAAGCGUGCGGACUAUUGGAUGUCCGUGGAGCUGUGAGGAGGGUCUGAAGGAAAAUCCGCAGACAAAAAUCUAGGCAGCGACUAAAGGGAACCGAAAGGGGAACUGAUAACGUAGCGCGAUGCUUCCAAGAAAUAGUUUCUAGCCGUAAUUUAGCGACCGUACCAAAACCGACACAGGUGGGUGGGAUGAAUAUUCUCAGGCGCGCGAGACAACUCUCGUUAAGGAACUCUGCAAAUUACCCUCGUAACUUCGGGAGAAGAGGGGCCAGGAUUCGUAAUAUUCUUCGCGAAUAGAAGCGAGGCUUGGUCGAAGAGAAAUGGCCCAGGCGACUGUUUAACAAAAACACAGCACUAUGCAAAGUCGUCUAAGACGACGUAUAUGGUGUGAAGCCUGCCCAAUGCCAAAAGGUCAAAAGGAGAUGUCAGCUAAGCAAUUGGCAAAGCAUUGAAUUAAAGCCCUGGUGAAUGGCGGCCGUAACUAUAACGGUCCUAAGGUAGCGAAAUUCCUUGUCGGGUAAGUUCCGACCUGCACGAAUGGCCUAACGAUCUGGGCACUGUCUCAACGAGAGACUCGGUGAAAUUGUAGUAGCGGUGAAGAUGCCGUUUACCCGCAACAAGACGGAAAGACCCCGUGAACCUUUACUAUACUCUGAUAUUGGCUUUUGACUUUUCAUGUGUAGGAUAACCGGAAGACGUAGAAGUUGGCUCGUUAGGGCUAAUGGAGUCGACCUUGAAAUACCGGUCUUGAAGAGUUGAAAAUCUAACGAUAUGCCGUGAAACCGGCAGUCGGACAUUGUCAGACGGGUAGUUUGACUGGGGCGGUAUCCUCCUAAAGAGUAACGGAGGAGUUCAAAGCUUCCCUCAUCGUGGUUGGCAAUCACGAAUAGAGCGUAAAGGUAUAAGGGAGGUUAACUGCGAGACCAACAAGUCGAGCAGAUACGAAAGUAGGACUUAGUGAUCCGGCGGUAGAAAGUGGAAUCGCCGUCGCUUAACGGAUAAAAGGUACUCCGGGGAUAACAGGCUUAUCGCCACCAAGAGUUCAUAUCGACGUGGCGGUUUGGCACCUCGAUGUCGACUCAUCGCAUCCUGGGGCUGGAGAAGGUCCCAAGGGUUUGGCUGUUCGCCAAUUAAAGCGGUACGCGAGUUGGGUUCAAAACGUCGUGAGACAGUUUGGUCCCUAUCUGUUGUGGGCGUAGGAUAUUUGAGAAGAGCUGCUUCUAGUACGAGAGGACCGAAGUGGACGAACCAAUGGUGUGCCGGUUGUACUGCCAAGUGCAUAGCCGGGUAGCUAUGUUCGGAAAGGAUAAGCGUUGAAAGCAUCUAAACGCCAAGCCUCCUUCAAGAUAAGAUAUCCCUAUGAGACCCCCUGAAGAUGACAGGGUUGAUAGGUUGGAUGUGUAAGCAUAGCAAUGUGUUGAGCUAACCAAUACUAAUAGGUCCAUUGGCUUGAU
Molecule: ribosomal RNA, 2937 nt
Filed under: Candidatus Rhabdochlamydia sp. T3358
Lineage: Bacteria; Pseudomonadati; Chlamydiota; Chlamydiia; Parachlamydiales; Candidatus Rhabdochlamydiaceae
Description: 23S ribosomal RNA
Rfam family: Bacterial large subunit ribosomal RNA
Source: RNAcentral